AGGUCCAUACUUUCAGGGGUCAUUUCUGUAGUUGGUCACUAGAGGAUAGUCAUUGUACCUGCAUGGCAUCACAGCCACAAGGAGGAGCAGGGUGUUCUCUCAUAACUGUACUUUCACAAUCAGGAUCUCUACCCGGGCAGCAAUAUCUUGCCACAAUGUGGC
RNAcentral lists this small nucleolar RNA (162 nucleotides) under Phalacrocorax carbo (great cormorant). Its description in RNAcentral is "Small nucleolar RNA U3". It matches the Rfam family "Small nucleolar RNA U3". Rfam says of the family: Small nucleolar RNAs (snoRNAs) are involved in the processing and modification of rRNA in the nucleolus. There are two main classes of snoRNAs: the box C/D class, and the box H/ACA class. U3 snoRNA is a member of the box C/D class. The record is from Rfam by way of RNAcentral. Lineage: Eukaryota; Metazoa; Chordata; Aves; Suliformes; Phalacrocoracidae.